Non-coding RNA from Lepisosteus oculatus (spotted gar), 529 nucleotides. The record is from RefSeq and is a predicted model, not a curated record. NCBI's taxonomy places the organism in Eukaryota, Metazoa, Chordata, Actinopteri, Semionotiformes, Lepisosteidae.
AAUCAAAGCAGAUACAAUUAAAUGAAGUAACUCUCUUUUGUUUUAGAUAUAUACAGUAAUAUUAUUUGUGUUUUGUGAGGAAUACUGUGGUGUGAGGUUGGGUGUUAACUAUUUCAUAUUAUAUUCUAGAUUUUAAACCUGUCAGAUGAGUGAAACUGAAAUGCAGGCAUCUAGUUAUCUUUUGUAGAGGGCAUUAAUAACCAGAUUCCUUCAAAUGGAUAGUUUAUCAGAACGUGGGUUUUGAGCGCGAGUGAGCUCCAAGGACUACCUUCAUUUUUUUGCUAAGAAACACAGUAACAUGCAUGUAAAUAAACACUACAAUAAAGGCCACAUCGGUACUUGCCAUAGACAAAAAAGACAGUGAAACAUAGAUCAAAAUGCAUAACAAAGACAUACUGAACUAAAGCCCACAUAAUGCACUAAGCACUCUCAUGUUUGUGAAUGUCACUGAAUAUUAAAUUUAUUGAAUAUGUGUGGGCUGAUCUAGACAAAUCUCUACCUCAGAAGGAAAAAAAAACAUUUGAGUGAA